UCAAACCACCAAUCACAAUCCCACCCGUCAUCCCUCCCGUUGUCAAACCACCAAUCACAAUCCCACCCGUCAUCCCUCCCGUUGUCAAACCACCAAUCACAAUCCCACCAAUCGUAAAACCACCUAUCGAAAUCCCACCAGUGAUUCCCCCAGUUGUGAAACCACCGAUCACAUUACCACCAGUCGUAAUCCCUCCGGUGAUUCCCCCGAUUGUGAAACCACCAGUGGAGAUUCCCCCGAUCACCACCAAGCCCCCGAGCAAGGGAACACCGUGCCCGCCACCACCCGGAAAACCAGCUCCUAAGGACACUUGCCCCAUCGACACA
This 326-nucleotide long non-coding RNA is filed under the name Fragaria vesca (wild strawberry). Its description in RNAcentral is "long non-coding RNA (FVES_LNC000046)". The record is from RNAcentral. Lineage: Eukaryota; Viridiplantae; Streptophyta; Magnoliopsida; Rosales; Rosaceae.